AGAGUUGGCUUGGUAAUCGCUAUUUCUCAUUAAUUGAGUAAGUAGAGGAAAGUCCGGGCUCCUUCGGACAAGGUGCCAGGUAACGCCUGGGGGGCGCAAGCUCAUGGAUAGUGCCACAGAAAAUAUACCGCCUAAGUACUUAUGUACCGGUAAGGUUGAAAUGGUGCGGUAAGAGCGCACCGCAUAAAUGGCAACAUUUAUGGCAGGGAAAACCCCGCCUGGAGCAAGACCAAAUAGAGAAGUAAUUGACUAAUGUCAUACCGUCGGUUCCGAACGGACUUCUGGGUAGGUUGCUAGAGGUAGUUGGUGACAACUAUUCGAGAUGAAUGAUUACCCUCGACAGAACCCGGCUUAUGGCCAACUCUUACU
Molecule: RNase P RNA, 369 nt
Filed under: Woeseiaceae bacterium
Lineage: Bacteria; Pseudomonadati; Pseudomonadota; Gammaproteobacteria; Woeseiales; Woeseiaceae
Description: RNase P RNA component class A
Rfam family: Bacterial RNase P class A
About the family: Ribonuclease P (RNase P) is a ubiquitous endoribonuclease, found in archaea, bacteria and eukarya as well as chloroplasts and mitochondria. Its best characterised activity is the generation of mature 5'-ends of tRNAs by cleaving the 5'-leader elements of precursor-tRNAs. Cellular RNase Ps are ribonucleoproteins.
Source: RNAcentral